This is a long non-coding RNA of Pyrus x bretschneideri (Chinese white pear), 800 nucleotides long. RefSeq lists it as uncharacterized. The record is from RefSeq and is a predicted model, not a curated record. The transcript is spliced from 3 exons. Lineage: Eukaryota; Viridiplantae; Streptophyta; Magnoliopsida; Rosales; Rosaceae.
UCAAAAUAAUCCAAGAUUCUUCAGCUUAUGUACGAAAAGGGAUAGAUUAUUUUAUUCUCAUUUGCUUAACAAGACAGAUACUACAACGCGAAUAGAUUGUUAGGCUCGGACCGAUAACCAAAAAUCAAUCGCCUAGACUUGCAAUGUGUGGCGGUCUCGCUCGAUCCGUGGAGCUCGUUAACGAGACCAGUCCGGGCGUGGACAUCGAGCUAACGGAGGUGGAGAGGGUUGAAAGGCAGGGUAGAGUGAUUGUUAGCCUCCGGCCUGGUGAGAGGAGAAAGAUAAGGGGCACCCAAUUCAUAAACCGACACCGGACUUCCUCUACCCCUCGGUGCCUUCAUGCCACCGUGAAGCUUCCCGGCGAUGAACCGCCGCUGAUCCUUGCGGCUAAUGAUUUAGCUGUUAACGGGAAGUUGAAAUUCCGGCUAGUGGAAGGGAGACUUAGUUGCCACCCAGAGGUGAUCUCCAAUUUCCGGCGCUUGAGGUUCUUCCCCUGUGCUGGAGGAAAUUAAGGAGUCGUUAAAGUCGUUGUGCUUGAGUCAUCAAAACUCCGAAUACCAGCUUAAUCUUAAGUUGUUUGUAAAUAAACCUGUAUUGUUUGAAAGAAUAUGUAUUCUAAGACUUAAUUGCAUGGUGAAAACAAUGCCGUCUUGUAAAAGGGAAUUGUUAUUAGAACUCCAAACUUUCUAUAAUUAGAAAGAAAACAUUUAUGACUAGUAUAGAAUAAGAUUUUUGGAGUGCUAGUAACAAUUCUCUUGUAAAAUUCAGUGUGUUUAAUAAUGUGCAGUUACAAAAGGAUA